AAAUUAAUAGUUUAAUAAAAAUUUUAAUUUUGGAUAUUAAAGAUUUUAAAUUUUUUUA
This 58-nucleotide transfer RNA is filed under the name Diptera sp. 66 LC-2017. Its description in RNAcentral is "tRNA-Pro". Lineage: Eukaryota; Metazoa; Arthropoda; Insecta; Diptera. The record is from RNAcentral.